This 200-nucleotide ribosomal RNA is filed under the name uncultured bacterium. Its description in RNAcentral is "partial 16S ribosomal RNA". It matches the Rfam family "Bacterial small subunit ribosomal RNA", at positions 8 to 226 of the family's 1533-position model. The record is from RNAcentral.
AGAGUUUGAUCAUGGCUCAGGAUAAACGCUGGCGGCGUGCCUAACACAUGCAAGUCGAACGCCCUGAAGAGAUUCAGGGAGUGGCGGACGGGUGAGGAACGCGUGGGAACCUACCUCUGGGUGAGGGAUACCGGCGAGAAAUUGCCGACAAUACCGCAUAGGCCUGGGAGACCAGGGAAAGUCGAAAGACGCCGAGAGAU